RNAcentral lists this small RNA (509 nucleotides) under Curvularia spicifera. RNAcentral describes it as "eukaryotic LSU rRNA". The stretch from base 191 to 344 matches the Rfam family "5.8S ribosomal RNA". Lineage: Eukaryota; Fungi; Ascomycota; Dothideomycetes; Pleosporales; Pleosporaceae. The record is from RNAcentral.
CGUAGGUGAACCUGCGGAGGGAUCAUUACACAAUAAAAUACGAAGGCCGUUCGCGGCUGGACUAUUUAUUACCCUUGUCUUUUGCGCACUUGUUGUUUCCUGGGCGGGUUCGCUCGCCACCAGGACCACAAUAUAAACCUUUUUUAUGCAGUUGCAAUCAGCGUCAGUAUAACAAAUGUAAAUCAUUUACAACUUUCAACAACGGAUCUCUUGGUUCUGGCAUCGAUGAAGAACGCAGCGAAAUGCGAUACGUAGUGUGAAUUGCAGAAUUCAGUGAAUCAUCGAAUCUUUGAACGCACAUUGCGCCCUUUGGUAUUCCAAAGGGCAUGCCUGUUCGAGCGUCAUUUGUACCCUCAAGCUUUGCUUGGUGUUGGGCGUUUUUGUCUUUGGCCCGCCAAAGACUCGCCUUAAAAUGAUUGGCAGCCGGCCUACUGGUUUCGCAGCGCAGCACAUUUUUGCGCUUGCAAUCAGCAAAAGAGGACGGCAAUCCAUCAAGACUCCUUCUCACG